GACGGGAGCUUGCUCCUUGAUUCAGCGGCGGACGGGUGAGUAAUGCCUAGGAAUCUGCCUGGUAGUGGGGGACAACGUUUCGAAAGGAACGCUAAUACCGCAUACGUCCUACGGGAGAAAGCAGGGGACCUUCGGGCCUUGCGCUAUCAGAUGAGCCUAGGUCGGAUUAGCUAGUUGGUGGGGUAAUGGCUCACCAAGGCGACGAUCCGUAACUGGUCUGAGAGGAUGAUCAGUCACACUGGAACUGAGACACGGUCCAGACUCCUACGGGAGGCAGCAGUGGGGAAUAUUGGACAAUGGGCGAAAGCCUGAUCCAGCCAUGCCGCGUGUGUGAAGAAGGUCUUCGGAUUGUAAAGCACUUUAAGUUGGGAGGAAGGGCAGUAAGCUAAUACCUUGCUGUUUUGACGUUACCGACAGAAUAAGCACCGGCUAACUCUGUGCCAGCAGCCGCGGUAAUACAGAGGGUGCAAGCGUUAAUCGGAAUUACUGGGCGUAAAGCGCGCGUAGGUGGUUCGUUAAGUUGGAUGUGAAAGCCCCGGGCUCAACCUGGGAACUGCAUCCAAAACUGGCGAGCUAGAGUACGGUAGAGGGUGGUGGAAUUUCCUGUGUAGCGGUGAAAUGCGUAGAUAUAGGAAGGAACACCAGUGGCGAAGGCGACCACCUGGACUGAUACUGACACUGAGGUGCGAAAGCGUGGGGAGCAAACACGAUUAGAUAUCCUGGUAGUGCACGCCGUAAACGAUGUCAACUAGCCGUUGGAAUCCUUGAGAUUUUAGUGGCGCAGCUAACGCAUUAAGUUGACCGCCUGGGGAGUACGGCCGCAAGGUUAAAACUCAAAUGAAUUGACGGGGGCCCGCACAAGCGGUGGAGCAUGUGGUUUAAUUUGAAGCAACGCGAAGAACCUUACCAGGCCUUGACAUGCAGAGAACUUUCCAGAGAUGGAUUGGUGCCUUCGGGAACUCUGACACAGGUGCUGCAUGGCUGUCGUCAGCUCGUGUCGUGAGAUGUUGGGUUAAGUCCCGUAACGAGCGCAACCCUUGUCCUUAGUUACCAGCACGUUAUGGUGGGCACUCUAAGGAGACUGCCGGUGACAAACCGGAGGAAGGUGGGGAUGACGUCAAGUCAUCAUGGCCCUUACGGCCUGGGCUACACACGUGCUACAAUGGUCGGUACAGAGGGUUGCCAAGCCGCGAGGUGGAGCUAAUCUCACAAAACCGAUCGUAGUCCGGAUCGCAGUUUGCAACUCGACUGCGUGAAGUCGGAAUCGCUAGUAAUCGCGAAUCAGAAUGUCGCGGUGAAUACGUUCCCGGGCCUUGUACACACCGCCCGUCACACCAUGGGAGUGGGUUGCACCAGAAGUAGCUAGUCUAACCUUCGGGAGGACGGUUACCACGGUGUGAUUCAUGA
Molecule: ribosomal RNA, 1407 nt
Filed under: Pseudomonas plecoglossicida
Lineage: Bacteria; Pseudomonadati; Pseudomonadota; Gammaproteobacteria; Pseudomonadales; Pseudomonadaceae
Description: bacterial SSU rRNA
Rfam family: Bacterial small subunit ribosomal RNA
Source: RNAcentral